CGCCGUCUUGCCCCUUCUUCUUCGCGCGAAAACGGCCCCCAGCCCAAGAUCUCGCCGUUCUUGCCAUCGCCGGCGAAAUCCACGACCGUAAGCCGCGAGCCAAAGCCGCGCCGGUGACGCUGUCCGCCACCGAAGUCGUCGCCGGUUGUCGGGUCCUCUACGCCUCCUUUCUCCUUCGCACGCGAACUCUUUCCUUCCUCCAUAGAACAACGGCGACUCGCACAGGGACACCACCAGCGCCACGAAUCACAGCCAAAGUUGNCGCCGUUCGUCCAGUUUCCACUUCUCGGGCCAUGAACAAAACCGACCACCGUUGUCUUCGCCGGAAAACGCUUACACGUCAGAGUCGCCGGCACCACUCUCAUUCAAGANUCUUUUUCCUCCGAUGCCAAACAUUUCCAGCAACAUCAUCGCNGGUGUCAAGGGCGAAAACGCCUUUCCUUCUCUUUUUCUCAUUUCCUUUUCAAUAUUGUUCAUUUGAAUGUUGUUCUGUUGAUGGAAGUUUCUUCCAUUGGGAUAUUUUGGGUUAAAUCUGAUGGGAUUUUGUUUUACAGGUCAUAGAGGACAUUGAGCAUGGAGCUCGAGAUGUCAAUCUAGAGGGAAGGCGCUGGGUGUAACGACUUGGUGUAACGGUUGUUCAAAGGAUAGAGCUUAGAAUCUGGGUUUUGGUUUGUUCAAUCUGCUUGAUGGAGGUAGAAGAUGGUGUAGCGUUUCCUAUUCCGAUAUAUGCUGAUAUGAAAAAUUAUUUAUGUUUGUCUUUUAUUUACAUGCUUUUCUGGACAUUUCUGGAUGUGAGCAAAGAGGGUAUUGGGGU
This 814-nucleotide long non-coding RNA is filed under the name Vigna radiata. Its description in RNAcentral is "long non-coding RNA (VRAD_LNC014404)". The record is from RNAcentral. Lineage: Eukaryota; Viridiplantae; Streptophyta; Magnoliopsida; Fabales; Fabaceae.